UUCCCUGCCUCAGCGACAGAUACUAAAAUUGGAAUGAUACAGAGAAGAUUAGCAUGGCCCCUGCACAAGGAUGUCACUCACAUUCGCGAAGUGUUCCAUAUUUUU
Molecule: small nuclear RNA, 105 nt
Filed under: Ornithorhynchus anatinus (platypus)
Lineage: Eukaryota; Metazoa; Chordata; Mammalia; Monotremata; Ornithorhynchidae
Source: RNAcentral